CCUACGGGAGUCUGCAGUGGGGAAUAUUGCACAAUGGGGGAAACCCUGAUGCAGCGACGCCGCGUGAGUGAAGAAGUAUUUCGGUACGUAAAGCUCUUUCAGCCGGGAAGAAAAUGACGGUACCUGACUAUGAACCCCCGGACAACUACAUACCAACAAGCGCGGCAAUACGCAGGGGGCAAGCGUUAUCCGGAUUUACUGGGCGUAAAGGGAGCGUAGACGGAAGCGCAAGUCUGGAGUGAAAUCCCAUGGGUUACCCAUGGACCUGCUUUGGAAACUGUGUAGCUAGAGUGCAGGAGAGGUAUGCGGAAUUCCUAGUGUAGCGGUGAAAUGCGUAGAUAUUAGGAGGAACACCGAUGGCGAAGGCAGCAUACUGG
This 377-nucleotide ribosomal RNA is filed under the name uncultured bacterium. RNAcentral's name for it is "partial 16S ribosomal RNA". It matches the Rfam family "Bacterial small subunit ribosomal RNA", at positions 338 to 732 of the family's 1533-position model. The record is from RNAcentral.